RNAcentral lists this non-coding RNA (98 nucleotides) under unclassified sequences. RNAcentral's name for it is "wcaG RNA". It matches the Rfam family "wcaG RNA". The record is from RNAcentral.
UAUACCCCGUUGGAUAAGGGUUAAGCCAACUGGUGCGGACAUCUGCAAAGGUUUCUUGUUUUUCCUUACGUCUAAAAGAACAAGUGGCGAGCCUGCAA